This 220-nucleotide long non-coding RNA is filed under the name Physcomitrium patens. Its description in RNAcentral is "long non-coding RNA (PPAT_LNC014261)". Lineage: Eukaryota; Viridiplantae; Streptophyta; Bryopsida; Funariales; Funariaceae. The record is from RNAcentral.
UUUGAUUAUUAUCCAUUUUUAUAGAAAAAGAUGGCAUUUUUCUUCUUUUCAAGAUAUUCAUUGUCUUAUAUAUCUCAAGAAGAGACACAUAGAAUAUAGAUAUCAAGAACAUAAAUAUCAAAGAAAGAAAUCUUCAAUAUAUUCUUGUAUCAUUGAAAAGAACAAGAAAGUCACUCAAAGAUGAUAUAAUAUUGAAUUAGAAUGGUUAUUGCCAAAAACA